Molecule: ribosomal RNA, 395 nt
Filed under: uncultured soil bacterium
Lineage: Bacteria
Description: bacterial SSU rRNA
Rfam family: Bacterial small subunit ribosomal RNA
Source: RNAcentral
AGAACGAACGCUGGCGGCAUGCCUAAUAUAUGCAAGUCGAACGAACUCUUCGGAGUUAGUGGCGCACGGGUGCGUAACGCGUGGGAAUCUGCCCCUUGGUUCGGAAUAACAGUUGGAAACGACUGCUAAUACCGGAUGAUGACGAAAGUCCAAAGAUUUAUCGCCAAGGGAUGAGCCCGCGUAGGAUUAGCUAGUUGGUGAGGUAAAGGCUCACCAAGGCAACGAUCCUUAGCUGGUCUGAGAGGAUGAUCAGCCACACUGGGACUGAGACACGGCCCAGACUCCUACGGGAGGCAGCAGUAGGGAAUGUUGGACAGUGGGACGAAAGCCUGAUCCAGCAAUGCCGCGUGAGUGAGUGAAGGCCGUUAAGGGUUGUAAAGUCUUCUUUACCCGAG